UCUGACUUCACCCAAACAGUAAGUUCCUUGAAAACACAAAGCCUGUGUUCUCUAUUACUCGCUCACCUUUUCCCAAUGCUCCGUACACCGCAUAUACUAACACUGACAAAUGGACACACCUAAAUUCUGUAGAAGUCGUGGAAGGUUUCAGGGACACUUGGGUCCUACAAAUUAGUGUUAGAAGUUACUCCUUCCUGUUCUAUGCCUCCUUUCGAACUUUCCUCUAUUUCCCCCUUCCGAACAAACAAAAGAAGCCCUGAACACCAAUGGAUUUGGAUUUCGAGUAUCACGGGCUACCAAACACCGGGGAUGAGAGGAGAGCUGAUUCCCUAUGAAAGGGAGCCCCCCAACAGAAGCCCAACCGGCCGAACCGGCGCCCAUGAAACCCGCCGGGCACUAGCGCCGAGGUGCGACGUCUGCAGCGCGAGGGUCCAAGCCACACCACUACGAGGUUCUCGAACAGCAAACACCCCGGGCCCAGAAGAGCCAUUCCAGAUGACAAAAGAAAAGGAGGUGAAGGGGAACAAGGUGGCCCCGGCCCCUACUGUUGUGAAGAAGCAGGAGGCCAAGAAGGUGGUCAAUCCCCUGUUUGAGAAAAGGCCCAAGAAUUUUGGCAUCAGACAGGACAUCCAGUCCAAAAGGACCUCACCCGCCUUGUCAGAUGGCCUCGCUACAUCCGGCUGCCACGGCAGAGGGCUAUUCUCUAUACAUGUCUACAAGCGCCUCCUGCAAUUAACCAGUUCACCCAGGCCUUAGACCUGCAGCUACUCAACUGCUUACACUGGCCCACAAAUGCGGACCAGAGACAAAACAAGGGAAGAAGCAGAGAUUGUUAGCCGGGGCUGAGAAGAAAGCUGUCAGCAAAGGGAAUGUCCCCACUAAAAGGCUGCUGUCCUUUGAGCUGGGGUUAACACUGUCACCACCUUGGUGGAAAACAAGAAGUCUCAGCUGGUAAUGGUUGCAUAUGAUGUGGAUCCCACGGAGCUUGUUGUCUUCCUGCCCACCCUGUGUCGUCGGAUGGGGGUUCCCUACUAGCAUUAUCAAGGGGAAGGCCAGGCUGGGGCAUCUGGUCCACAGGAAGACCUGCACCACUGCUGCCUUCACAGGUUAACUCAGAAGACAAAGGAGCUCUGGCUAAGCUGGUGGAAGCCAUCAGGACCAAUGACAAUGACAGGAUGAGAUCCGCUGACACUGGCGAGGCACUGUCCAGGGUGCAAAGUUGGUGGCUUGCAUUGCCAAGUUAGAAAAGGCAAAGGUUAAAGAACUGGCCACAAAAUUGGGCUAAGGUGGAUGCUUAGUGAAUUUUCUGUACAUAAAAGUAACAAAAAGUUCUCUUCCAGUGAGUGUCAAAAAAAAAAAAUAAUAAUCCUCACAAGAAUUCUCUGAAAUAGGUACCACUGAUAUCUCUAUUUUACAGGUGGGGAAACCAAGGUAUAAAGAGGAAACCUAGGGGCACCUGGGUGGCUCAGUUGGGUAAGCAUCCAACUCUUGAUCUCAGCUCAGGUCUUGAUCUCAGGGUCAUGAGUUCAAGCCCUGAGUUGGGCUCCGCACUAGGCCAGAGCCUACUUAAAACAAAACAAAAACAAAAACACAAAGAGGAAAACUAUUCUAUCACAGAUGUCAGGGCUAGAGAGUAGCUAAGCCAGGACUCGAGCUCACAGAUUUUAAAACUUUGCAUGUCUGGGAGAAUAUAUGUCAAACUGUAUUUUUAAUUUUUGGUAUAAAAACAUAUUGUAGGGUGCCUGGAUGGCUCAGUUGGUUAAGCAUUUGCCUUUGGCUCAGGUCAUGAUCCUGGAGUCCUGAGAUCGAGUCCCACAUCCUGCUCCCUGAUCAGUGGGAAGUCAGUUUCUUCCUCUACCACUCCCCUCUGCUAGUGAUCUCUCUCUCAUGCUCUCUCUCUAAUAAACACAUUAAAAAAUAUAUUGUAAAAAAGACA
This 1936-nucleotide long non-coding RNA is filed under the name Ursus maritimus (polar bear). RNAcentral describes it as "lncRNA (ENSUMAG00000001905.1)". The record is from RNAcentral. Lineage: Eukaryota; Metazoa; Chordata; Mammalia; Carnivora; Ursidae.